AUCCCCAAUCCAUUCAAACCAGGUUAAUAGAACAUAGAGUUUCAGUCUAAAGUCUCUGGAAGACUCUAAGGAGCAUUGUUUGCCUUUCUGUUCAUUUUCUCCUUUUGAAUUCCACCUAGAUGAAGCAGAGGCUUGAGAUAGCACAGAGCAAAAUGGAACGAAAACAGACAUACACCUGAUUUCUUAGGCCUCUUGAAAAUUAAUGGGCAGGAAGGUUUAACUUGUUCAGAGUGGACUAUUGACAUUAUAAAGGUGUAAUUGCUGAGAAUAUCCUUAGGCAUUAGUUUUAACCUUGUGAUUAUACUGUAGGACUUUUACGCUCCUUGACCCUAGAAGGAGUGUCCAGGUGGGGGACAUCUGAGCUCAUCUUUGUCCAGGUGCACCUCCUAUCAUCAGUGAAUGCUCUGAAGUGGGAAGGAGAAGUUCAGAGUGCUGAUGGUCACAGAGAUCUUCAAUUCCUGAAUCCUAUCACCUUCUCUUCACAACAACUUGGAGAAGAUCCAGAGAGUUGUGGACCCACGGAGGAGACAUCUGAAGAAUAAGCUGUGGCGAUUCAUGCAAGAUCAUUUAAGUACCUAAUGCACAAGACUGGGAUUUGAGGCCAGGUCUGGGCGUCUCAGGAGCCCACCUACUUAAGAAUGUGCAGUCUCUGACAUGAGUCUCAGCCUUCCAAGCUCUGUUUAAAUGGAUGCUGAAGCUGUCUCAGGGUUGGCUAAUCCUCACAACCUUCCUGGGAGUCAUUUAAGCUCACGCUAUGGUUUAGCGCAGUAUCCUACAAAUGGUGUGCGGAAAUACCACCUCCUACAGCUUAAAUUUUAAAUCCACCGUUGUAGACGCCCAUCUGAAGUGAGAAAGCAAAGCGCUAUUUUGGACCAUGAAUGUUCUCGCCUGAUGUGUCUUUCCGUACGAGGCCCGAUCUGUCUGUGAUUCUCCGAAAGGGAGACAUGUCGUGAGGACAUGGCUAUGCCUUACAGCUAAAAGGAGUUUGAGGAGGAAGAAGGUAAUGAAGAGUUCAGUUCUCGUCUCGAAAGUUCAUGCGUUCCUGAUGCCAUCAUCCAGACAGUGGCUGCCCCUUGUGUUUCCUAGAGGGACAAUAUGUGGAUUGCGGGCAGCAGGAGGUGGCACAUUAAGAUGCCAUGGAGUUCAACCAGAGUUUUGCUUCUGUCAUUAAAAUAAAUCUGAAAUCACUCUCCUUCUAUAUCUACCAUAUUAAGCUGACUUGGACGGAUUUGAGUAAAUCAUUACUAAAAGGGUUGGGAAUUUCAUGUUUUUCUGGUCUGCAGGCAAAAAAGUUUUGUUAGUGAUUCAGAAGAGGGCUUUUAGUUUUUCUGUGAAUCCUCCAGAUGGUAAUUCUGUGCAAUGAUGGGAAAUGAAAUUUCUGACCCUGGGAAUUUCAUCUGUGCCACGGUUAAAUCACUUUCAUGCUAUUGCUUUAGGGAGGUUCCAAAAGUCCUUUUCCUGAGUUUUUAAUAGAUCCCUUUCCCACAAUUAU
Molecule: long non-coding RNA, 1492 nt
Filed under: Equus asinus (donkey)
Lineage: Eukaryota; Metazoa; Chordata; Mammalia; Perissodactyla; Equidae
Description: lncRNA (ENSEASG00005024970.1)
Source: RNAcentral